UGUAUAAUGGGUCAGCGACUUAUAUUCUGUAGCAAGGUUAACCGAAUAGGGGAGCCGAAGGGAAACCGAGUCUUAACUGGGCGUUAAGUUGCAGGGUAUAGACCCGAAACCCGGUGAUCUAGCCAUGGGCAGGUUGAAGGUUGGGUAACACUAACUGGAGGACCGAACCGACUAAUGUUGAAAAAUUAGCGGAUGACUUGUGGCUGGGGGUGAAAGGCCAAUCAAACCGGGAGAUAGCUGGUUCUCCCCGAAAGCUAUUUAGGUAGCGCCUCGUGAAUUCAUCUCCGGGGGUAGAGCACUGUUUCGGCAAGGGGGUCAUCCCGACUUACCAACCCGAUGCAAACUGCGAAUACCGGAGAAUGUUAUCACGGGAGACACACGGCGGGUGCUAACGUCCGUCGUGAAGAGGGAAACAACCCAGACCGCCAGCUAAGGUCCCAAAGUCAUGGUUAAGUGGGAAACGAUGUGGGAAGGCCCAGACAGCCAGGAUGUUGGCUUAGAAGCAGCCAUCAUUUAAAGAAAGCGUAAUAGCUCACUGGUCGAGUCGGCCUGCGCGGAAGAUGUAACGGGGCUAAACCAUGCACCGAAGCUGCGGCAGCGACGCUUAUGCGUUGUUGGGUAGGGGAGCGUUCUGUAAGCCUGCGAAGGUGUGCUGUGAGGCAUGCUGGAGGUAUCAGAAGUGCGAAUGCUGACAUAAGUAACGAUAAAGCGGGUGAAAAGCCCGCUCGCCGGAAGACCAAGGGUUCCUGUCCAACGUUAAUCGGGGCAGGGUGAGUCGACCCCUAAGGCGAGGCCGAAAGGCGUAGUCGAUGGGAAACAGGUUAAUAUUCCUGUACUUGGUGUUACUGCGAAGGGGGGACGGAGAAGGCUAUGUUGGCCGGGCGACGGUUGUCCCGGUUUAAGCGUGUAGGCUGGUUUUCCAGGCAAAUCCGGAAAAUCAAGGCUGAGGCGUGAUGACGAGGCACUACGGUGCUGAAGCAACAAAUGCCCUGCUUCCAGGAAAAGCCUCUAAGCAUCAGGUAACAUCAAAUCGUACCCCAAACCGACACAGGUGGUCAGGUAGAGAAUACCAAGGCGCUUGAGAGAACUCGGGUGAAGGAACUAGGCAAAAUGGUGCCGUAACUUCGGGAGAAGGCACGCUGAUAUGUAGGUGAAGCGACUUGCUCGUGGAGCUGAAAUCAGUCGAAGAUACCAGCUGGCUGCAACUGUUUAUUAAAAACACAGCACUGUGCAAACACGAAAGUGGACGUAUACGGUGUGACGCCUGCCCGGUGCCGGAAGGUUAAUUGAUGGGGUUAGCGCAAGCGAAGCUCUUGAUCGAAGCCCCGGUAAACGGCGGCCGUAACUAUAACGGUCCUAAGGUAGCGAAAUUCCUUGUCGGGUAAGUUCCGACCUGCACGAAUGGCGUAAUGAUGGCCAGGCUGUCUCCACCCGAGACUCAGUGAAAUUGAACUCGCUGUGAAGAUGCAGUGUACCCGCGGCAAGACGGAAAGACCCCGUGAACCUUUACUAUAGCUUGACACUGAACAUUGAGCCUUGAUGUGUAGGAUAGGUGGGAGGCUUUGAAGUGUGGACGCCAGUCUGCAUGGAGCCGACCUUGAAAUACCACCCUUUAAUGUUUGAUGUUCUAACGUUGGCCCCU
RNAcentral lists this ribosomal RNA (1642 nucleotides) under Escherichia coli. RNAcentral describes it as "partial 23S ribosomal RNA". It matches the Rfam family "Bacterial large subunit ribosomal RNA", at positions 609 to 2236 of the family's 2925-position model. The record is from RNAcentral. Lineage: Bacteria; Pseudomonadati; Pseudomonadota; Gammaproteobacteria; Enterobacterales; Enterobacteriaceae.